This 450-nucleotide ribosomal RNA is filed under the name uncultured bacterium. RNAcentral's name for it is "bacterial SSU rRNA". It matches the Rfam family "Bacterial small subunit ribosomal RNA", at positions 354 to 796 of the family's 1533-position model. The record is from RNAcentral.
GUGGGGAAUAUUGGACAAUGGGCGAAAGCCUGAUCCAGCCAUGCCGCGUGUGUGAAGAAGGUCUUCGGAUUGUAAAGCACUUUAAGUUGGGAGGAAGGGCAGUAAGUUAAUACCUUGCUGUUUUGACGUUACCGACAGAAUAAGCACCGGCUAACUUCGUGCCAGCAGCCGCGGUAAUACGAAGGGUGCAAGCGUUAAUCGGAAUUACUGGGCGUAAAGCGCGCGUAGGUGGUUUUGUAAGUUGGAGGUGAAAUCCCCGGGCUCAACCUGGGAACUGCCUCAAAAACUGCAUGACUAGAGUACGGUAGAGGGUAGUGGAAUUUCCUGUGUAGCGGUGAAAUGCGUAGAUAUAGGAAGGAACACCAGUGGCGAAGGCGACUACCUGGACUGAUACUGACACUGAGGUGCGAAAGCGUGGGGAGCAAACAGGAUUAGAAACCCUUGUAGUCC